UCGGAUAUGGUGUAACGGCUAACAUUAGCGCCUCUCAUGCAUUCUCCCAAGUCCCUAAGAUUGCGCGCUAGCUCGGGGUUCGAUUCCCCGUAUCCGAA
This is a non-coding RNA of Mucidula mucida, 98 nucleotides long. Lineage: Eukaryota; Fungi; Basidiomycota; Agaricomycetes; Agaricales; Physalacriaceae. The record is from the annotation of a GenBank genome assembly.